GACGAACGCUGGCGGCGUGCUUAACACAUGCAAGUCGAACGGAAAGGCCCUGCUUUUGUGGGGUGCUCGAGUGGCGAACGGGUGAGUAACACGUGAGUAACCUGCCCUUGACUUUGGGAUAACUUCAGGAAAAUGGGGCUAAUACCGGAUAGGAGCUCCUGCUGCAUGGUGGGGGUUGGAAAGUUUCGGCGGUUGGGGAUGGACUCGCGGCUUAUCAGCUUGUUGGUGGGGUAGUGGCUUACCAAGGCUUUGACGGGUAGCCGGCCUGAGAGGGUGACCGGCCACAUUGGGACUGAGAUACGGCCCAGACUCCUACGUGAGGCAGCAGUGGGGAAUAUUGCACAAUGGGCGGAAGCCUGAUGCAGCAACGCCGCGUGCGGGAUGACGGCCUUCGGGUUGUAAACCGCUUUCGCCUGUGACGAAGCGUGAGUGACGGUAAUGGGUAAAGAAGCACCGGCUAACUACGUG
This 468-nucleotide ribosomal RNA is filed under the name uncultured bacterium. Its description in RNAcentral is "partial 16S ribosomal RNA". It matches the Rfam family "Bacterial small subunit ribosomal RNA", at positions 28 to 507 of the family's 1533-position model. The record is from RNAcentral.